Molecule: ribosomal RNA, 526 nt
Filed under: uncultured Clostridium sp.
Lineage: Bacteria; Bacillati; Bacillota; Clostridia; Eubacteriales; Clostridiaceae
Description: bacterial SSU rRNA
Rfam family: Bacterial small subunit ribosomal RNA
Source: RNAcentral
AGAGUUUGAUCCUGGCUCAGGACGAACGCUGGCGGCGUGCUUAACACAUGCAAGUCGAGCGAUGAAGCUCCUUCGGGAGUGGAUUAGCGGCGGACGGGUGAGUAACACGUGGGUAACCUGCCUCAUAGAGGGGAAUAGCCUUUCGAAAGGAAGAUUAAUACCGCAUAAGAUUGUAGUACCGCAUGGUAUAGCAAUUAAAGGAGUAAUCCGCUAUGAGAUGGACCCGCGUCGCAUUAGCUAGUUGGUGAGGUAACUGCUCACCAAGGCGACGAUGCGUAGCCGACCUGAGAGGGUGAUCGGCCACAUUGGGACUGAGACACGGCCCAGACUCCUACGGGAGGCAGCAGUGGGGAAUAUUGCACAAUGGGGGAAACCCUGAUGCAGCAACGCCGCGUGAGUGAUGACGGUCUUCGGAUUGUAAAGCUCUGUCUUUAGGGACGAUAAUGACGGUACCUAAGGAGGAAGCCACGGAUAACUACGUGCCAGCAGCCGCGGUAAUACGUAGGUGGCAAACGUUGUCCGGAUU